GUUGGAUGGUCAGGAUUGUUCUUCAUGGGCUCAGCUUGAUUCUUGGCCAGCUGGCCUGCCUGCUGCCCCUCACCUUCUACCCAGAGGGAAAUUCCUCACCCGCUGGACCACACCCGCUCUUGAGGACCUCGCGAGCUCUCUGGGCAGAGCGGAAGCCAGACAGAGACCGGACUCCAAGGCGACAAUCCCAGCUCUGUGUGUGCCAGGAGCCCCCAGGGGCAGGGGCCCACGCUGCAGGAGGUUAGCUGCCCCCCAACACUCAGGAGCCAGGAGUGGGCUGCAGGGACAGAGCGCUUCUCAAACGAGGAGGAGCCCCCGUGGAGUACGUGACUCCUGCCCCUCUGGCUGCACGCUCCAGUUACCAGGACAGAGACCCCUCCCCACGCGUCCCCAGCCUUCCCCUGCUUCCUGCUCUGGCUGCUGGGAGGCCCUGUCACCACACAUGAGCGAGCACGCACUCCGACACACGCGCCCCUCCCAGGCACCCCUGAGAGGACCAGCUGCAGCUGGGGGGUGCACUGAGUGCUGCCAGGUCCUCAGAUCCACAGCCUCCCCCCAUCCUCGCCCCCUACUGCUGAGCUGCUUGGAGGUUUAAAGCAAAACAUGACUGUCUUUCCUGCUGCUCAGUGGCAGCGGCGCUGCCUGAGGGUUAUUUUUAGCAGGGAUGCGAGGAAGGCACAUUUCUCCUUGACUUUCACCAGGGACAACCCUCACCCCCCAGCCAAGACUCGCCUGGGGAGGCAGGUUCGGAAACCCCACUCCCAGGAAGGGGAAACUGGUGGGUUUUCUGUUCUUUCAAUUCAUCAGGCCUUGAAGUCAAGCUAGGGGCUGCUCUGAUGGGAAAUUCUAGGUUCCAAAGCCCAUGGUUUCCCCCGCCAUCCCUGGUCUCUGUGUCGCUACAAAUUUGAGGAGCAAGAGGUACGUUGUGUCUAGAGGCAGGUCGCCCAGGCUGCGGGUGUUGGGGUCCUGGGGCAGCCGCGUGGUUACAGCCAGGCACUAUAGAUUGCAUGCAGUGCCCGGCUUUGUGGGGGAGCGGUUCUCACAGAUGCUGGCUUGUUAAUUCAUUAAACUGCCUGUCUGGC
RNAcentral lists this long non-coding RNA (1082 nucleotides) under Marmota marmota marmota (Alpine marmot). Its description in RNAcentral is "lncRNA (ENSMMMG00000024336.1)". The record is from RNAcentral. Lineage: Eukaryota; Metazoa; Chordata; Mammalia; Rodentia; Sciuridae.